GUGCCAGCAGCCGCGGUAAUACAGAGGGUGCAAGCGUUAAUCGGAAUUACUGGGCGUAAAGCGUGCGCAGACGGUUUCGUAAGUCGGGUGUGAAAGCCCCGGGCUCAACCUGGGAAUUGCAUUCGAAACUGCAAGGCUAGGGUACGGAAGAGGGAAGCGGAAUUUCUGGUGUAGCGGUGAAAUGCGUAGAUAUCAGAAGGAACAUCAGUGGCGAAAGCGGCUUCCUGGUCCAGUACCGACGUUCAGGCACGAAAGCGUGGGGAGCAAACAGGAUUAGAAACCCUCGUAGUCC
RNAcentral lists this ribosomal RNA (292 nucleotides) under uncultured bacterium. Its description in RNAcentral is "partial 16S ribosomal RNA". It matches the Rfam family "Bacterial small subunit ribosomal RNA", at positions 505 to 796 of the family's 1533-position model. The record is from RNAcentral.